GGGCGAAAGCCUGAAGCAGCAACGCCGCGUGUGUGAUGAAGGCCUUCGGGUCGUAAAGCACUUUUCUGGGAGAUGAGAAAGGACAGUAUCCCAGGAAUAAGUCUCGGCUAACUACGUGCCAGCAGCCGCGGUAAAACGUAGGAGGCGAGCGUUAUCCGGAUUCACUGGGCGUAAAGCGCGUGCAGGUGGCGCGGUAAGUUGGGCGUGAAAUCUCCCGGCUCAACUGGGAGAGGUCGUUCAAUACUACCGUGCUAGAGAGCAGAAGAGGAAGAUGGAAUUCCCGGUGUAGUGGUGAAAUGCGUAGAUAUCGGGAGGAACACCAGUGGCGAAGGCGAUCUUCUGGUCUGUUUCUGACACUCAGACGCGACAGCUAGGGUAGUAAACGGGAUUAGAGACCCCGGUAAUCCUAGCCGUAAACGAUGUGAACUUGGCGUUGGUGGGUUAAACUCCAUCAGUGCCGUAGCAAACGCGAUAAGUUCACCGCCUGGGGACUACGGCCGCAAGGUUA
This 508-nucleotide ribosomal RNA is filed under the name uncultured Chloroflexota bacterium. RNAcentral's name for it is "bacterial SSU rRNA". It matches the Rfam family "Bacterial small subunit ribosomal RNA", at positions 373 to 896 of the family's 1533-position model. Lineage: Bacteria; Bacillati; Chloroflexota. The record is from RNAcentral.